ACGUGCAAAGUCUGUGACACUGCAAUUGCCCUUUCAAAAAGCAGAAGUGCUGAUACAUGGACCCCAUAACUCAGACUCUUCUCCAGUCUGCCAAACAACUGGAGUUGCUAAUGGCUCUAACUUUCUGGCCGGUGUGUGUGUGGCUGCUAUAGCUUACCCAAAGACUGUUCAAGAAACCUCGUCCUCCAGGAAUGCAUCCAUCUUUGUACUGGACUGUGUUUGCUGAAACUGGUGUCUGCAAUGAGAAAGGAAUUCUCCUGGCCUCUCUCGUCCUCCUUGGAACCCCAGUCUGUUGGGAAAGAGGAGAAAGGACUGGAGAUACUGACUGAGGCAUAGCUGGGGAUCAGAACCAGCCUCUGUGCCUGAGAAACCGCAGCCAUGAGAAACCACCACAGCCCUAUAUUUUGGAAGACCUAGGAGCUAGCCUGAGAUCAGCACCUCAUCUGUGGUAGGGAAACAUGAGCACACAGAUGGGGCACAGAAAACACACUGCGGGACUUUGAUCCACUAACCACUUGAUCUCCAGAGUUGAUACAAGUCCUGGUCCAACUGGCAAGCUCCUGGCAUCAGUACUUCUCUGGCUCGCACCUCCCGGUCUGUGCAAAUUGUUUAAGAAAAGCAGGUCAGCAAAACAUCACCUGCUAUUGUUGGGCAGAGAGAGUGUGUACUCCCCUCAAAUAGCUCCUAACCCUCCAUGCUUGCAUACCUAAAGGAGGUCAAACUCCGUUUGGGUUUGUUUUUGUUUAUUCCCCAGUUUUAGAGCCUUUCUGUUCAACUUGCUUUGCAGGGAGGAUGGAGGCAAAGGCAAGGGGCUCAGAUAUAAAGGAAACCUGCCACACACCAAAUCCUGGGUGAGCUCUUGCCAUCUGUAUCACCUUCAUUCUCUUCCAUGGCAUUGUAUCCUUCCAACAGCCCACUGAAAUGAUGGGUACUGAAACUGAGGCCUGAUAGGCACAAAAACACUAGUCCCCUUAUUUGUGGUUUCAGUUGCCAGCAGUCAACUGAGUUUCUGAUAUACGAAAUUCAAAAACAGACAGUUCCAGUUGCAUGUGGCUGAGGAUAACAAAAUUUUGUACCAUCCUAUUCCAUUCCACCCCAAACAUGAAUCACCUCUUCAUCUAGCAUUUGCAAGCUGUGUAUACUACCUGCCCAUGGGCCACUCAGUAAUCCAGUAUUUCUACACUGUGUGUAUAUACUAUCUGCCAGGGA
Cricetulus griseus (Chinese hamster) is the source of this 1209-nucleotide non-coding RNA. NCBI's taxonomy places the organism in Eukaryota, Metazoa, Chordata, Mammalia, Rodentia, Cricetidae. The record is from RefSeq and is a predicted model, not a curated record.